This 582-nucleotide ribosomal RNA is filed under the name uncultured bacterium. RNAcentral describes it as "bacterial SSU rRNA". It matches the Rfam family "Bacterial small subunit ribosomal RNA", at positions 102 to 680 of the family's 1533-position model. The record is from RNAcentral.
ACGGGUGAGUAAUAUAUCGGAACGUGCCCUAGAGUGGGGGAUAACUAGUCGAAAGAUUAGCUAAUACCGCAUACGAUCUAAGGAUGAAAGUGGGGGAUCGCAAGACCUCAUGCUCCUGGAGCGGCCGAUAUCUGAUUAGCUAGUUGGUGGGGUAAAAGCCUACCAAGGCGACGAUCAGUAGCUGGUCUGAGAGGACGACCAGCCACACUGGGACUGAGACACGGCCCAGACUCCUACGGGAGGCAGCAGUGGGGAAUUUUGGACAAUGGGGGCAACCCUGAUCCAGCAAUGCCGCGUGAGUGAAGAAGGCCUUCGGGUUGUAAAGCUCUUUUGUCCGGGAAGAAACGGUUCCAGCUAAUAUCUGGAGCUAAUGACGGUACCUGAAGAAUAAGCACCGGCUAACUACGUGCCAGCAGCCGCGGUAAUACGUAGGGUGCAAGCGUUAAUCGGAAUUACUGGGCGUAAAGCGUGCGCAGGCGGUUGUGUAAGUCAGAUGUGAAAUCCCCGGGCUCAACCUGGGAAUUGCAUUUGAGACUGCACGGCUAGAGUGUGUCAGAGGGGGGUAGAAUUCCACGUGUAGCA